This 469-nucleotide ribosomal RNA is filed under the name uncultured bacterium. RNAcentral describes it as "partial 16S ribosomal RNA". It matches the Rfam family "Bacterial small subunit ribosomal RNA", at positions 28 to 507 of the family's 1533-position model. The record is from RNAcentral.
GACGAACGCUGGCGGCGUGCUUAACACAUGCAAGUCGAACGGAAAGGCCCUGCUUGCAGGGUGCUCGAGUGGCGAACGGGUGAGUAACACGUGGGUGAUCUGCCCCUUACUUUGGGAUAAGCCUGGGAAACUGGGUCUAAUACUGGAUAGGACCAUGCUGUAGGCGGUGUGGUGGAAAGAUUAGUUUCGGUAAGGGAUGAGCUCGCGGCCUAUCAGCUGGUUGGUGGGGUAAUGGCCUACCAAGGCGUCGACGGGUAGCCGGCCUGAGAGGGUGGACGGCCACAUUGGGACUGAGAUACGGCCCAGACUCCUACGGGAGGCAGCAGUGGGGAAUAUUGCACAAUGGGCGCAAGCCUGAUGCAGCGACGCCGCGUGGGGGAUGACGGCCUUCGGGUUGUAAACUCCUUUCAGCCAUGACGAAGCCCUUGUGGUGACGGUAGUGGUAGAAGAAGCACCGGCUAACUACGUG